GUGAGGAAUAUUGGUCAAUGGAGGCAACUCUGAACCAGCCAUGCCGCGUGCAGGAUGACGGUCCUAUGGAUUGUAAACUGCUUUUGUACAGGAAGAAACCUCCCUACGUGUAGGGACUUGACGGUACUGUAAGAAUAAGGAUCGGCUAACUCCGUGCCAGCAGCCGCGGUAAUACGGAGGAUCCGAGCGUUAUCCGGAAUUAUUGGGUUUAAAGGGUUCGUAGGCGGCUUUGUAAGUCAGUGGUGAAAUUUUCUAGCUUAACUAGGACACGGCCAUUGAUACUGCAGAGCUUGAAUAAUAUGGAAGUAACUAGAAUAUGUAGUGUAGCGGUGAAAUGCUUAGAUAUUACAUGGAAUACCAAUUGCGAAGGCAGGUUACUACGUAUUUAUUGACGCUGAUGAACGAAAGCGUGGGGAGCGAACAGGAUUAGAAACCCUAGUAGUCC
RNAcentral lists this ribosomal RNA (445 nucleotides) under uncultured bacterium. RNAcentral describes it as "bacterial SSU rRNA". It matches the Rfam family "Bacterial small subunit ribosomal RNA", at positions 354 to 796 of the family's 1533-position model. The record is from RNAcentral.